Molecule: ribosomal RNA, 500 nt
Filed under: uncultured bacterium
Lineage: Bacteria
Description: bacterial SSU rRNA
Rfam family: Bacterial small subunit ribosomal RNA
Source: RNAcentral
UAGUCCACGCCGUAAACGAUGGACACUAGUUGUUGGGCAUUAGCUCAGUGACUAAGCGAAAGUGAUAAGUGUCCCACCUGGGGAGUACGAUCGCAAGAUUGAAACUCAAAGGAAUUGACGGGGGCCCGCACAAGCGGUGGAGCAUGUGGUUUAAUUCGAUGAUACGCGAGGAACCUUACCAGGGCUUAAAUGUAGUAUGACAGGUUUAGAGAUAGACUUUUCUUCGGACAUAUUACAAGGUGCUGCAUGGUUGUCGUCAGCUCGUGCCGUGAGGUGUCAGGUUAAGUCCUAUAACGAGCGCAACCCCUGUUGUUAGUUGCCAGCGAGUCAAGUCGGGAACUCUAACAAGACUGCCAGUGCAAACUGUGAGGAAGGUGGGGAUGACGUCAAAUCAUCACGGCCCUUACGUCCUGGGCUACACACGUGCUACAAUGGUAGGGACAGAGAGCAGCCACUUCGCGAGAAGGAGCGAAUCUACAAACCCUAUCACAGUUCGGAUC